UCGAGCGAGCAGAGAUUCUUCGGAUGCUGCUGAGCGGCGGACGGGUGAGUAACGCGUGGGUACCUGCCCCAUACCGGGGGAUAACAGCUGGAAACGGCUGCUAAUACCGCAUAAGGCUGCAUGGCAAAAACUCCGGUGGUGUAAGAUGGACCCGCGUCUGAUUAGGUAGUUGGUGGGGUAACGGCCCACCAAGCCGACGAUCAGUAGCCGACCUGAGAGGGUGACCGGCCACAUUGGGACUGAGACACGGCCCAAACUCCUACGGGAGGCAGCAGUGGGGAAUAUUGGACAAUGGGCGAAAGCCUGAUCCAGCGACGCCGCGUGAGGAAGAAGUAUUUCGGUAUGUAAACUCUAUCAGCAGGGAAGAAAAUGACGGUACCUGACUAAGAAGCCCCGGCUAACUACGUGCCAGCAGCCGCGGUAAUACGUAGGGGGCAAGCGUUAUCCGGAUUUACUGGGUGUAAAGGGAGCGUAGACGGUUAAGCAAGUCUGAAGUGAAAGCCCGGGGCUCAACCCGGUACUGCUUUGGAAACUGUUUGACUUGAGUGCAGGAGAGGUAAGUGGAAUUCCUAGUGUAGCGGUGAAAUGCGUAGAUAUUAGGAGGAACACCAGUGGCGAAGGCGGCUUACUGGACUGUAACUGACGUUGAGGCUCGAA
This 657-nucleotide ribosomal RNA is filed under the name uncultured bacterium. RNAcentral describes it as "bacterial SSU rRNA". It matches the Rfam family "Bacterial small subunit ribosomal RNA", at positions 62 to 757 of the family's 1533-position model. The record is from RNAcentral.